Molecule: transfer RNA, 74 nt
Filed under: Hildenbrandia rubra
Lineage: Eukaryota; Rhodophyta; Florideophyceae; Hildenbrandiales; Hildenbrandiaceae
Description: tRNA-Val
Rfam family: tRNA
About the family: Transfer RNA (tRNA) molecules are approximately 80 nucleotides in length.
Source: RNAcentral
AGAUACAUAGCUCAGUUGGUUAGAGCGCCACGUUGACAUCGUGAAAGUCGCUGGUUCAAAUCCAGUUGUAUCUA